This 699-nucleotide ribosomal RNA is filed under the name uncultured Pseudomonadota bacterium. RNAcentral describes it as "bacterial SSU rRNA". It matches the Rfam family "Bacterial small subunit ribosomal RNA", at positions 62 to 756 of the family's 1533-position model. Lineage: Bacteria; Pseudomonadati; Pseudomonadota. The record is from RNAcentral.
UCGAGCGGAUGAGAAGAGCUUGCUCUUCGAUUCAGCGGCGGACGGGUGAGUAAUGCCUAGGAAUCUGCCUGGUAGUGGGGGACAACGUUUCGAAAGGAACGCUAAUACCGCAUACGUCCUACGGGAGAAAGCAGGGGACCUUCGGGCCUUGCGCUAUCAGAUGAGCCUAGGUCGGAUUAGCUAGUUGGUGAGGUAAUGGCUCACCAAGGCGACGAUCCGUAACUGGUCUGAGAGGAUGAUCAGUCACACUGGAACUGAGACACGGUCCAGACUCCUACGGGAGGCAGCAGUGGGGAAUAUUGGACAAUGGGCGAAAGCCUGAUCCAGCCAUGCCGCGUGUGUGAAGAAGGUCUUCGGAUUGUAAAGCACUUUAAGUUGGGAGGAAGGGCAGUAAGUUAAUACCUUGCUGUUUUGACGUUACCGACAGAAUAAGCACCGGCUAACUCUGUGCCAGCAGCCGCGGUAAUACAGAGGGUGCAAGCGUUAAUCGGAAUUACUGGGCGUAAAGCGCGCGUAGGUGGUUCGUUAAGUUGGAUGUGAAAGCCCCGGGCUCAACCUGGGAACUGCAUCCAAAACUGGCGAGCUAGAGUAUGGUAGAGGGUGGUGGAAUUUCCUGUGUAGCGGUGAAAUGCGUAGAUAUAGGAAGGAACACCAGUGGCGAAGGCGACCACCUGGACUGAUACUGACACUGAGGUGCGA